UCCGGGUUCGGCGUCGAUGGCCUUGGACCCCCCCCCCCCCCACUGUGUUCUCCGAAGAGGAGGCCAUUGUUGCGCGGCGGCGGCGACAAUCCCCUUCUAGGCGUGGGAAGUGACGCGUGGAGGACUAGUUUGGAAGUCACAAAACCAGAGGAGAUUGGAUGUGCUAGAUUCUCCAUCUUAUUCAAGUUUGAGGAACGAGGAAGUGGGGAGGAUUUUGGUGGAACGGAGCGCGAACUCUCGGGGGUGAUUGGUGGACAGGGAUCACAAGGAUCCAUGGGGAGGAAUCGUGAUCCCUCCACCAAAUCAGCUCGGGGGAGGUAUGCAUGGGUUGCCCAAUGCUCGCCAACGGGUUCCAGGUUGGGCUCGUAUGGGCUUAUUGCGGCGGUGAGUACGGGUCGUCCCAGACCGCUUUCAGUCUGGGAGAACAGUGGGCGGCCUCUGGAGGGUCAGGUGAC
RNAcentral lists this unclassified non-coding RNA (455 nucleotides) under Zea mays. RNAcentral describes it as "misc RNA Zm00001eb299140". Lineage: Eukaryota; Viridiplantae; Streptophyta; Magnoliopsida; Poales; Poaceae. The record is from RNAcentral.